UAAACCCGUUCUGUGUCAGUGGCUUGGACGCAGAACAAGGAUGUCGACGACGUGCCAAGUGUCGAGCGGUCAACUCUUUUCUGGUUUUCCGCUGUUUUUCUUUCACGCUGUUUUCAAGUCGGACAACUUUCGCAAGUUGAGGCCUGACUGAGUGUCUUUUCGCAACAAUCUGCCAUUCUGGCUCCAGAGCUGCACAUGAAGACAGCGAAAUCAAUGCAGUCUCAUUUCCUUUAGCAUAAGUUGUCGCCUCUAGUGGAUUUCGAGCCAUUAUUAGUGAUAUUGUAAUCAUUCCUGUUGAGGGAAUGCCGGGCGUAAAGACCGUUUUGGUCACUCGAUGAAAAGUCACAUUGAUCGAAAGCGUCGGCACGCAACGCCGACUGACACUGAGUGCCUCCUUUUUUCCGAUGCGGUAGCUAAUUGCGCCGUUAAUCGCCGGGGGAGGCGCAGAAUCCCGACGACUUUGCCGAUCCGCUUUGGCUGUCAGUUUCAUGACUGCGGGCUGUCUAAUCCUCGGUUGUAUCUUGACAGGUUGUAACCCGAGCCCUGAGGGUGUGCUAUUGAAAUAUGAAAAGACAACAUCAAACGUGCAUGCGAGGGAGAACACGGGUGUGUCUGCAGCAUCAACCAAGUCAUUCAUGAAGUAGUAUUCCGGUGUUUCUGUGGUGAAAGAAGGCAACGGGAACAUUCGUCACAAACAUUAGUAUUCUGCCCACAGUCCUUGUUUUGCAAGACGAGCCGGUCUUUACAAACAAACAACCAGCAGAGGGCGGGGAGGAACUAUGCAGGUAUUUGGGACGCAGUCGACUGGCUCGAUCCAUCUAUGGCUGUGAUCCACUUCAAGCCCCCGUCUCUGGAUUUUCCGCCGUUCACUUUCACGGCGAAUCUGUCACACUUCUGUUGCGCGACGGUUUCUAUCCCCUUGUUUGAACUGUCAAGGCACUUUCAGUGAAGGAUGUGCUUUUGCGCUCCUUCCUCGACGGAUCAGGGAUGUCCAUUCCCCGCCUCCUCCUCCUCCCUCUCAUUCCGGGUAAAUAACCGGGCGCCCGUGUCGGGAAAUAAGACUGUCACGGCGUUCCCCGAGCGGAGUGGAUUGAGUUGUUGCACAUCCGCGAGCCGGCUUCGAUACACGGAAUGUUGCGGCAGUGACGCCGUCGCGGGCCGAAGAAAGAACAACACGGACAAACCUCCAGGAGAGCCUCUUGCAUCUCAAUAGAUGAAGGUGGACAGUCGCUGCGGACAGAAGCAGUCAAUCAACGAUGGGAAAAUCUAUCGUAAUAGACCUCUGAUGUGAACAGCUAAUCAGCCAUUUUGGUUUGAAUUAGCUCGUUUGGCUAAUUGCAGGGAUCGACGGUUGUCACCCCAAAAUUGCCCCAACACCCGUUUAAUUGCUCAUCAUGAAAUUGGGUUUACAAGUCCAUCAUAAGAUGAUGCACGACAAAGUCUGAUGGGCCCAUCCCCCAAAUUGAGACGCUACGAGGUGCCGUUUUAGUUUGAGGUAGCCGUUUUGGGCGAAUUCCAGAGCUUGAAAGUUAGAAAAAAAAAAGUAUCCUCUGACACCAGUUAAACUAAUUGACACACAAUUGGGUGGAAGUGUCGAUCUUAAAAAGAAGAAAAAGUCUCAAGGUCCCGUGUGUGAAGUUGAGCAGAAAGUUCGACAUGUUGGCUUGAAGUAGCCGUUUUGGGGCCGAGUGCAGGGAUUGUACUUUGGCCAACUUCGACUAGGCAACCCAUCCAAUUAAGCCCCGUCAGAGUUGGAGGAUCGUUCCACGGCUUCGCCGUGAACUCCUUUGCUUCCAUCUCGGGCAAUAACUCUCUCCAGCCACCGGAGGCCAGUACGCCCGUGAUAAGGUCAUCUUCUCAACGUGUGACGGCUUCGACGG
This is a long non-coding RNA of Hippocampus comes (tiger tail seahorse), 1880 nucleotides long. RefSeq lists it as uncharacterized. The record is from RefSeq and is a predicted model, not a curated record. Lineage: Eukaryota; Metazoa; Chordata; Actinopteri; Syngnathiformes; Syngnathidae. The transcript is spliced from 2 exons.